GCACAAUCAGCCAGUCAUCAGGAGGACCAAAUAAUGGAUAAAACUAUUAGUUUUAUAAAUGGAUAAAACUAUUAGCCAACUGACGCCCCAGUGGAAGAGUGGGUGUUUGAGACAAAUGUUUACUGUUUCUCAGAACUAUCUCAGAGACUCACUGCAGUAGGUGAACAGUCUACUGAAGUCUGUGGACUUCACUAUAAUCAAGCCUAUAUUUUCAUGUACUUCUGAGAUGUCUUAAAGAACAGAGAGGUGACUGGAAUAAUGAAUAGCAAAAUCCUAUGAGAAAAAAAUGGAAAAUGAGGGAGAAACAGAAGCUGUCUAUCUACCCUGGUGUCUUGCUUCUAGGACUAAAUAGGCAUUUAGUUCCAUCCUUUGUACCUGCCAUCUCCAAAUAAAGAUGAGCUCAAGGAAUAAUAAGUUGAAAAUUUAAAGAGACAAAAUUAACAAAAUCACAUAGCACGGCAGUCUUUUUCAAUCAGCAUGGUCAACAGCCAUUUAGGAAAGCCAGAAUAAACAUGUUUUAUAGCAUAUGCAGUCAAAGAAGAACAGUUCAAGACCAAUGGCAAGUGGAGCACUUGGUGACCUUAUCAUAUGAUGAUUAUAGAGACUAAUCCGAAGACCUAUUGUGCAAAUCCCAGUAUUUCAUAAAAUCAGAUUGUAAAUUCAGAUACUCAGAAGCAAUCCUAUUUUGUUCAGCAGAUUAUUUGGAGAAUAAGCAAUGUAAAGAUUGCAGCUGGAUUAUAUUUGCUAUAUAUGGAUAUGGGAAUUAAGCCUAAAUUUGUAUCCAGUUAAAUCUGUUCAGUUUUUUUUUAAUUACCAGUAAAUCAAUGUUAAAGCCAUUAUUCCAUCAUCAGAAUUGCUACCAAUGUUUUAUGUCUAAAUUUUAAAAAUUCAUAUGAUUCUUUCAGUUUGGAUAGCAUCAUUUGCCCAAAUAUUAUGACAUGUUAAUUAUUUUAUUCUGCAGUUUAAUUCAACCAUUUUGCAUCCUGCAUUCUGUUAAUAGUUCAGGAUUUCAGCAGACUCACUGGCAUCAGUUGUGUUCAUGUGGAGUAGCCCUAUUCAGCACUCAUACCUUCUUUCUGAGGUUCCAGCUCCUUCCUUCUUUAGGUUUUCCAUGCUUUUUUUUUUCUUUUCUUUUCUUUUCUCUAGGUUUUCCAUGUCUUUUUCAUCCAACAACCAACUUUCUAUGAUCAUUGGUCAAGCUCAGUCCUCAUUGAGCUGUUUCUCCUUUUAGAGUUUUAUUUUGCUUUAAACUUUUGGGGUACAAUAUUUUUUCACCUGAUACUUCCAGCCUUUGCAUAUAGCUUCUUAAAUAAAGCAUAAAUUCGCUAAUGGAAUUUAGUGGCUUGGCUCCUAGAUAUCUGCAAAACAUCUUCUUCAAGUGGACCAGCCCCUAUCUUCUCAGGUAGGAAAUAUCUAGGAUCUCUGACAUAUGGGAGGUCUGGGUGGAGGCUAGGAGAUAGUGUUUUUUGUAAUUGCUCCAUCCUUUAUAGCAGCCUUCCCAACUGGCAUUUAAGAAAACAGUUUAAAUAGAGGUCUUCACAGGGCCAGGUAGACCAUUUCAGGAAACUGACACCACAAGGAAUCCAGUAAUGCUACUUUAUUGUUAUAGGGUACAACAACAUGAUCUUGAAAGUCUGUCAGAGUUUCUCUUUGUUCCCCCUUACACCAAAAAGAAUCAAGAUGGGCUUAUUUUGAAUUUCUUUCUUAGGGCUUUCCCCUUUCUCAAGACUGAAUUGCUGUUUUACCUCCCUUAAUGGCUCCCCCAUUCCAAGGUCAUCUCUACAUUUCUUUAUACAUAGAGCCUUUGAUCUGUAAAGAUUGUUGCCAGAUGCUGAGUUGGAUUGUGGUUUUCUUGUUUUAAUGCAAUGGUAGGACUUGUUUUGGAAUAUGUCCAAAUAUUAAAACUGUAAAUAACUAAGUAAACUAAAAUGACAAAUGCUAUUCAAUAUAAGUUGGUGUAAAAUGAGGCAAGAGGGCAAAGUCCUAACAUAUGUGCUGAUGGGAUCUGACUGGUGACUAGCUUAGGGUCAUGGGACUGUGAUAGACAGGUUGAUCCAGCAUGUGGCAAGAAGUUCCUGGACUCAAGAUUCCAUAUGUGUUAUCACUUUUGCAGGUUUAGUUGGUGGAUCACAGUGUUCUAAUAAAAAAGGAAAGUACCGUAUUUUUCCGUCAAUAAGA
Molecule: long non-coding RNA, 2178 nt
Organism: Python bivittatus (Burmese python)
Lineage: Eukaryota; Metazoa; Chordata; Lepidosauria; Squamata; Pythonidae
Source: RefSeq, a predicted model, not a curated record